GAUGAACGCUGGCGGCGUGCCUAAUACAUGCAAGUCGAGCGAACGGACGAGAAGCUUGCUUCUCUGAUGUUAGCGGCGGACGGGUGAGUAACACGUGGAUAACCUACCUAUAAGACUGGGAUAACUUCGGGAAACCGUAGCUAAUACCGGAUAAUAUUUUGAACCGCAUGGUUCAAAAGUGAAAGACGGUCUUGCUGUCACUUAUAGAUGGAUCCGCGCUGCAUUAGCUAGUUGGUAAGGUAACGGCUUACCAAGGCAACGAUGCAUAGCCGACCUGAGAGGGUGAUCGGCCACACUGGAACUGAGACACGGUCCAGACCCCUACGGGAGGCAGCAGUAGGGAAUCUUCCGCAAUGGGCGAAAGCCUGACGGAGCAACGCCGCGUGAGUGAUGAAGGUCUUCGGAUCGUAAAACUCUGUUAUUAGGGAAGAACAUAUGUGUAAGUAACUGUGCACAUCUUGACGGUACCUAAUCAGAAAGCCACGGCUAACUACGUG
Molecule: ribosomal RNA, 497 nt
Filed under: uncultured bacterium
Lineage: Bacteria
Description: partial 16S ribosomal RNA
Rfam family: Bacterial small subunit ribosomal RNA
Source: RNAcentral